GAGGCGGAGGGAAGGGGCCAGCCCCGAGCAGAGCAACAGGUACCGUCCGCAGGCCCAGAGGUGGCCUGGCGGCUUCCGCGCUGCUGCUGCCCGGCCUCGGCCUGUGGGUUGGAGCCCUGGGGGCCCGAGGGAACAGAGGCGGCUGCCCGCCGGCUGGAUGGCUAAGAGCUAGCAGAGCACAUUCAGGACCAUGAUGGCUCAGUUUCCCACAGCCAUGAAUGGAGGCCCGAACAUGUGGGCUGUUACCUCUGAAGAGCGAGCAAAGCAUGACAAGCAGUUUGAGAGCCUUAAACCGAUAGGAGGAUAUAUUACAGGUGAUCAAGCACGUACCUUUUUCUUGCAGUCAGGUCUACCAUCAUCAGUCCUAGCUGAAAUAUGGGCUCUUGCAGACCUGAACAAAGAUGGGAAGAUGGAUCAGCAGGAAUUCUCCAUAGCUAUGAAACUCAUCAAACUAAAAUUACAAGGUCAACACUUGCCUGUGGUCCUCCCACCGAUCAUGAAGCAACCUCCAGUAUUCUCGCCGUUAAUUUCUGCUCGCUUUGGAAUGGGUAGUAUGCCAAAUCUGUCCAUCCCAACAUCUGUGCCUACAAUUGCACCUUUAGCUCCCAUGUCAUCAUUGACCUCAGUGACUUCGAUUCCUCCCUUGGUUAUCUCUACUCCCCUGAUACCUUCUAUCAGUACAUCAUCAUUGCCAAAUGGAACAUCCAGUCUCCUUCAGCCUUUACCUAUGUCUUUCUCUUCAACAUUGCCUCAUCCUGCUUCUUUCAGUCCCAUGGCAGGAGGAUUUGGUGGUACUAAUAUACAGAAGGCACAGUCUCUGAUCGAUUUAGGAUCUAGUAGUUCAAAUUCUUCCUCCACCACUUCACUAACUGGGAAUUCACCUAAGACUGGAUCCUCAGACUGGGCAGUUCCUCAGGCCUCCAGAUUAAAAUACAGGCAGAAAUUUAAUAGCCUUGAUAAAAGCAUGAGUGGAUACCUAUCAGGAUUUCAAGCAAGGAAUGCCCUUCUGCAGUCAAACCUUUCUCAGACUCAGCUGGCUACCAUUUGGUCACUAUCUGACAUUGAUGGAGAUGGACAGCUGAAAGCAGAUGAGUUUGUGUUAGCCAUGCAUCUAACUGACAUGGCCAAAGCUGGGCAGCCUCUGCCAUUGACCCUGCCUCCUGAACUGGUACCUCCUCCUUUCAGAGGUGGAAAAUAUGCCGAAAAUGUUAAUGGAACUCUGCCAUUUUGCCAGCAAAUGCAAGAAGAGGAGCCCCAGAAAAAACAGCCAGUUACAUUUGAGGACAAGAGGAAAGCAAACUAUGAGAAAGGAAACAUGGAACUGGAAAAACGACGUCAAGUCCUACUGGAGCAGCAGCAGAGAGAGGCGGAACGUAAGGCUCAGAAAGAAAGAGAAGAACAGGAACGAAGAGAGAGGGAACUGCAGGAGCAGGAGCGGAAAAAGCAGCUUGAACUGGAAAGGCAUUUUGAGAAACAACGAGAGCUGGAAAGACAAAGGGAGGAAGAGAGGAGAAAAGAAAUAGAAAGGCGGGAGGCAGCAAAGCAGGAACUCGAGCGCCAGCGACGGCUGGAAUGGGAGAGAAUUCGACGCCAAGAUCUUCUUAAUCAGAGAAACAGGGAACAAGAAGAAAUUGUCAAGUUGACCUCUAAAAAGAAGAGCCUUAAUCUUGAAUUAGAAGCCCUGAGUGGCAAACAUCAGCAGAUCACAGGCAGACUGCAAGAUGUUCGAAGCAGAAAACAAAUUCAGAAAAGUGAGCUGGAAGCUCUAGAUAAAAAAUGUGAUUUGGGAAUUGUAGAAAUCAAACAGCUACAACAACAACUUCAGGAAUAUCAGAAUAAACUAGUCCAUUUAGUUCCUGAAAAGCAGUUAUUAAAUGAGAGAAUAAAACACAUGCAGCUGGACAACACUCCUAAUACAGGAAUCAGUUCAGUGAACAAGAAGUUCCUAGAAAAGGAAGAAUUAUGCCAAAGACUUCGGGAGCAAUUAAAUGCCCUAGAAAAGGAAACUGCUUCCAAACUCUCUGAAAUGGAUACCUUUAACAAUCAGCUCAAGUGUGAGAAUAUGGAUGAUUCUGUUCUUCAGUGCCUUUUGUCUCUGCUAAGCUGUCUCAACAACCUCUUCCUCUUACUUAAGGAACUGAGAGAAAGCUACAACACACAGCACUUAGCCCUUGAGCAACUUCAGAGGAUCAAACAAGAGAAAAUAAGAGCUGUAGAAAGAAAAAGAGCUGAGCUUGCACAGAAAAAGCGACUGGAGGAUGAGGCUGCAAGGAAAGCAAAACAGGGGAAGGAGAACCUAUGGCAGGAAAAUGUCCGAAAGGAAGAGGAGGAGAAAAAAAAGCGAUUACAGGAAGAGCGAAUAAAGGAAAAAAUUCAGGAAGAAAAACAAAAAGCUGAGGAGGCAGCUGCCCAAGUGAGAGAGAGGGAGUUCCAGUUGCAAAAACUGACUGAGGAGAAACAUGAGGAGGAGAGGAACAAGCUAGCUGAGAUUCAGAGAGAAACAGAACAACAAAGGCAGAGACAACUGGAAGAAGACAAGAGGAAGCAAGAACAAAUUGCAAAAGAAGCUGAGGAGAGGCGUAAACAGCAUGAAGAAGAGAAGAGAAGAAAAGAUACAGCCAACCUGCAAGAGUCAGAGAAACACACUUCAAAAUUAAACUUAAAUGAGAAAUUUGCAGACUUGUUGAAACAGACUGAGGGUAGAAAUCUUAAGCCUACGUGGAGAAGUGAAGGUAAUGUAGUUAGUGCCUCAGAAUCUAGGAAUUCAGCUGGCUUGGUGAAUUACAGAGCUUUAUACUCAUUCGAAGCAAGGAAUAAUGAUGAGAUGAGUUUUAAUUCUGAGGAUGUAAUUCAGGUUGAUGAGAAAACCGUGGGAGAGCCUGGUUGGCUAUAUGGGAGCUUUCAAGGUCAUUUUGGCUGGUUUCCAUGCAACUAUGUAGAAAAAAUAUCAGAAAGUGAAAAAGCUUUAUCUCCUAAAAGGGCCUUACUUCCUCCUACAGUAUUUUUGUCUACUACCUCAGCUCCUCCAGAACCACUUUCACCAAGUAGAUCAUCUGAAGACACUGAUUACCAAAACGUACCUUUCUCAAGCCUAACUGUUAACACAACAUGGCAGAAAAAAUCCGCUUUUACUCGUACUGUGUCCCCAGGAUCUGUUUCUCCUGUUCAUGGACAGGGACAAGCUGUGGAGAAUUUAAAAGCACAGGCACUUUGCUCCUGGACUGCAAAAAAAGAUAACCACUUGAACUUUUCAAAAAACGAUAUAAUUACUGUGCUGGAGAAGCAGGAAAACUGGUGGUUUGGAGAAGUGCAUGGAGGAAGGGGAUGGUUUCCUAAAUCCUAUGUCAAGAUCUUGCCUGGAAAUGAAAACAAACGAGAGGAACCCGAAACUAUUUAUGCAGCUGUAAACAAGAAGCCUAGUACACCAUCUUAUACCAUUGGAGAGGAGUAUGUUGCACUCUAUUCCUAUACAAGCUCCGAACCUGGUGAUUUGACUUUUGCUGAAGGAGAAGAAAUAUUAGUCACUCAGAAAGAUGGAGAAUGGUGGACAGGAAGCAUUGCUGACAGAACAGGAAUCUUUCCAUCAAACUAUGUCAAACCUAAGGAUCAAGAUGGUUCUGGUACUGCUGGCAGAACUGGGGCACUAAAUAAGAAACCUGGUGAGUCUGAUGUAACUUACAAAACUUCAGCUUAUUCUAUUUGUUCAUUAUUCACCAGUCUUUUUCUUAUUUCAGAGAUUGCCCAGGUGACUACAGCGUAUGCUGCAUCAGGGACAGAACAGCUUAGUCUGGCUCCAGGACAGCUGAUACUUAUUCUGAAGAAAAACCCUAGUGGAUGGUGGCAAGGAGAGUUACAGGCAAGAGGGAAAAAGAGGCAGAAAGGAUGGUUUCCUGCUAACCAUGUUAAAUUGUUGGGUCCAAGCAGUGAGAGAACUACUCCUGCUGCUCUCUCAGUAUGUCAAGUGAUAGCAAUGUAUGAUUAUGCGGCAAACAAUGAAGAUGAGCUCAGUUUCUCCAAGGGGCAGAUCAUUAAUGUACUGAGCAAAGAUGAUGCAGAUUGGUGGCAAGGAGAAAUCAGUGGUGUGACAGGUCUCUUUCCUUCCAACUAUGUGAAGAUGACCACAGACUCUGACCCAAGCCAACAGUGGUGUGCUGAUCUCCAAACUCUUGAUACUAUGCAGCCAAUGGAAAGGAAAAGACAGGGCUACAUUCAUGAGUUGAUCCAGACUGAAGAGAGGUACAUGGACGAUCUUCAGCUUGUCUUAGAGGUUUUCCAGAAACGAAUGGCUGAAUCAGGCUGUCUCACAGAAGAAGAAAUGGGAUUGAUCUUUGUUAACUGGAAGGAGCUCAUAAUGUCUAAUACAAAGUUACAUAAAGCCCUGCGUGUGCGUAAGAAGACAGGAGGAGAAAAAAUGCCUGUGCAGAUGAUUGGGGACAUCCUGGCUGCCGAGCUCUCUCACAUGCAGGCCUAUAUCAGAUUCUGCAGUUGCCAGCUCAAUGGAGCUGCAUUGCUGCAACAGAAAACAGAUGAAGAAACAGAGUUCAAAGACUUCUUAAAGAAACUAGCCUCUGACCCUCGCUGUAAAGGAAUGCCGCUCUCCAGCUUCCUGCUGAAGCCUAUGCAGAGGAUUACACGCUACCCUCUGCUCAUAAAGAGUAUUCUGGAGAAUACCCCAGAAAACCACCCAGAUCACAGUAAUCUCAAACUGGCCUUGGAACGCGCAGAGGAGCUGUGUUCUCAAGUUAAUGAAGGCGUGCGUGAGAAAGAGAACUCAGACAGGCUGGAGUGGAUACAGUCCCAUGUACAGUGCGAAGGACUUUCUGAGCAACCGAUUUUCAACUCCAUUACAAACUGCCUGGGUCCCCGAAAGCUCCUGCACAGCGGCAAGCUCUACAAAACAAAGAGCAAUAAGGAACUAUACGGCUUCCUCUUCAAUGACUUCCUGCUCCUUACCUACAUGGUCAAGCAGUUUGUUUCUUCAGGGUCAGAUAAACUGUUCAGCCCCAAGUCCCACUCUCAGUUCAAAAUGUAUAAAAUGCCUGUUUUCCUUAAUGAAGUCCUAGUGAAAUUGCCAACUGACCCUUCGAGUGAUGAGCCAGUUUUCCAUAUCUCCCACAUUGACAGAGUCUACACGCUAAAAACAGACAAUAUUAACGAGAGGUGAGUACUGGAAAUGCUGAGCCUUUUGAGGCCUGGGUGAGCCCUAUGGAAGAAAAUAAUAUUUAAGCCAGACACUCCGGUGGCUCUUUGCAGUUUAAGGGCAGCAGAACUUCUACCAGAUUACUCCUUUUUACACGAAUGUGGGAGUGCUUACACCGUGCAGAACUCACUUCAGACACACAUGGACAAGCGGAAGGCAUGGGGAAGCUUUCCAUUGACUCACUGGGUGUUAGAUCAGACCCAUGGUACACAGAGAGAGACUGUUUUGCCCUCAUCAUGCUGGUCUAAAUCAGGAUGAACUGCUUUGAAGUCAGUGGAAUUACAAGCUGGUGUGGGAGGAGGGUCUUUGUAAUAAGCCAUCAGCUCUUCUUAGCUACAUUUUUGUCUGUGCUGAAAGGCUGAUGUCUUACCAUACCUCUGCUGUCAGCAAAAAUAUAUGUUUAACCCACUAGCAGUGUGUCUGCAGUUCCCUCUAGUGCUGUUCCACAGAGAGGAUGACAACUUAUUACAGCUAUCCGUAACGCCAUUAGCUGAAGUGGAAGAGGUCUGUGUGGUGGAUCUAAAGGUUUCGAUCCUGCUGAUGACCCGUGUAUCAAUAUGAUACAGCUAGUGGAAUUCAUUUUUUUCAGUUUGCUUUUUUGAAAACCUAGAAAAUUACACACAAAAAAUUGUGUUAAAAGAACAUUGUUAAGGAUGCAAUGUCAACCACUCAAAAGUUAGAGGUGCUGAGGAAAAAGUAGUACGUGAUCACGUAGUUAAAGACCAUAUCCUAAUGUAGACACACACGGGGACUGAACUAAGGGUGCACGGGCAUCCCUAAUUGUGGCAUUUCUUAACUCUUGAGUGCUUGACUUUGCAAUCUUAAUAAUGUUUUUUUAACAUAGUGGUUUUGUGUGUAAUAUCCCAUGUAUAGGCUACCCACAUGUGCCAGACUAAUUUUUAGUUCAUGUCCUUUUCCUGAUACAUAAUUAGCACAGGGUUCUCUUUGUCUAAACCAACAUAUUGUGUAAAAUUGAUUCACCCUUUGGAGAAGGUUUAAAUUACACUAAAAAUGUUGUUCUCCAUAAAAUUGAUUGCAAAAUUCUCAGCCUGUAUGAGAUUCACCCCACUCAUCGCUACUCACACCACAUACCAGUACCAGAGCACACGUACCAGCUAAGGAGGUGGCUGGUGCCAGUGCUCUGGACUGGGUCGGGUAGGCAAGAGACCAUUUUUCUGAUAAUUUCCCAUGGUAGUUGGGGGCAAUGGACCAGGCUUCUGCUAGGUCCCCUUACUCCAAAGAUGGCCACAAAGGCACCUUCACAAAGCCCAUAAAGGGGGGAGCACAUCCUAACCUUCGCUUUGUUAGACUCCCAAGAGCUCAAUCUAAUUGGUAUAUCACUAUGAAGCUGGUUUUCCAGACCCAUAAUCGUUCUCAUGGUUCUUCUCUGAACCCCCUCCAAUUUAUCAACAUCCUUCUUGAAUUGUGGGCACCACUAUUCCAGCAGCAGUCACACCAGUGCCAAAUACAGAGGUAAAAUAACUUCUCUACUUGUGCUUGAAAUUCCCGUUUAUGCAUCUCAGAAUCACAUGAGCUUUUUUUGGCCAUAGUUUCGCACUGGGAGCUCAUGUUCAGCUGAUUAUCCACUACAACCCCCAAAUCUUUUUCAGAGUUGCUGCUUCCCAGGAGAGAGUCCCCCCUCCUGUAAGGACCGGCUACAGUCUUUGUUCCUGGGUUAUCCAUUUACAGUUAGCCAUAAUUUUACAUCAAAUGAAUAGAUGAUGGUGGGACCCUCGUGGUCAAGGAGACCUAAGAUCAGGUUAGCUCAAAAGAAGGGAACAAAAAAAUGUGACUUGAAUUAGAGACAGUGAGAUUUAUUAAGUGUUGCUGGAAUAACGGCAAGAUUCUUAGCUCCAAAAUGACUCUGCAGGGAUUAAUUUUCACAGGACGGCCUGGGUCCAGAAGAUCAAAGGAGCAUCGGAGCAGUAUAUCGAAACCGAGAAGAAGAAACGGGAAAAAGCUUAUCAAG
Chrysemys picta bellii (western painted turtle) is the source of this 7169-nucleotide non-coding RNA. The record is from RefSeq and is a predicted model, not a curated record. NCBI's taxonomy places the organism in Eukaryota, Metazoa, Chordata, Testudines, Emydidae.